This 465-nucleotide ribosomal RNA is filed under the name Vreelandella stevensii. RNAcentral describes it as "partial 16S ribosomal RNA". It matches the Rfam family "Bacterial small subunit ribosomal RNA", at positions 338 to 795 of the family's 1533-position model. The record is from RNAcentral. Lineage: Bacteria; Pseudomonadati; Pseudomonadota; Gammaproteobacteria; Oceanospirillales; Halomonadaceae.
CCUACGGGUGGCAGCAGUGGGGAAUAUUGGACAAUGGGGGCAACCCUGAUCCAGCCAUGCCGCGUGUGUGAAGAAGGCCCUCGGGUUGUAAAGCACUUUCAGUGAGGAAGAACGCCUGGUGGUUAAUACCCAUCAGGAAAGACAUCACUCACAGAAGAAGCACCGGCUAACUCCGUGCCAGCAGCCGCGGUAAUACGGAGGGUGCGAGCGUUAAUCGGAAUUACUGGGCGUAAAGCGCGCGUAGGUGGCUUGAUAAGCCGGUUGUGAAAGCCCCGGGCUCAACCUGGGAACGGCAUUCGGAACUGUCAAGCUAGAGUGCAGGAGAGGAAGGUAGAAUUCCCGGUGUAGCGGUGAAAUGCGUAGAGAUCGGGAGGAAUACCAGUGGCGAAGGCGGCCUUCUGGACUGACACUGACACUGAGGUGCGAAAGCGUGGGUAGCAAACAGGAUUAGAUACCCUAGUAGUC